RNAcentral lists this ribosomal RNA (253 nucleotides) under uncultured bacterium. Its description in RNAcentral is "partial 16S ribosomal RNA". It matches the Rfam family "Bacterial small subunit ribosomal RNA", at positions 524 to 776 of the family's 1533-position model. The record is from RNAcentral.
UACGUAGGUGACAAGCGUUGUCCGGAUUUACUGGGCGUAAAGAGCGCGCAGGCGGUCGUUCAAGUCGAGUGUGAAAGCCCCCGGCUCAACUGGGGAGGGUCAUUCGAUACUGAUCGGCUCGAAGGCAGGAGAGGGAAGUGGAAUUCCCGGUGUAGUGGUGAAAUGCGUAGAUAUCGGGAGGAACACCAGUGGCGAAGGCGACUUCCUGGCCUGUUCUUGACGCUGAGGCGCGAAAGCUAGGGGAGCAAACGGG